RNAcentral lists this ribosomal RNA (253 nucleotides) under uncultured bacterium. RNAcentral's name for it is "partial 16S ribosomal RNA". It matches the Rfam family "Bacterial small subunit ribosomal RNA", at positions 524 to 776 of the family's 1533-position model. The record is from RNAcentral.
UACGGAGGGGGCUAGCGUUGUUCGGAAUUACUGGGCGUAAAGCGCACGUAGGCGGAUCAGUCAGUUAGAGGUGAAAGCCCAGGGCUCAACCCUGGAACUGCCUUUAAUACUGCUGGUCUGGAGUCCGGGAGAGGUGAGUGGAAUUCCGAGUGUAGAGGUGAAAUUCGUAGAUAUUCGGAGGAACACCAGUGGCGAAGGCGGCUCACUGGCUCGGUACUGACGCUGAGGUGCGAAAGCGUGGGGAGCAAACGGG